Molecule: ribosomal RNA, 253 nt
Filed under: uncultured bacterium
Lineage: Bacteria
Description: partial 16S ribosomal RNA
Rfam family: Bacterial small subunit ribosomal RNA
Source: RNAcentral
UACAUGUGGGGCAAGCGUUGUUCGGAAUUACUGGGCAUAAAGAGCGUGUAGGCGGCCAUACAGGUCCGUUGUGAAAACUGGAGGCUUAACCUCCAGACGUCGAUGGAAACCGUAUGGCUAGAGUCCGGAAGAGGAGAGUGGAAUUCCUGGUGUAGCGGUGAAAUGCGCAGAUAUCAGGAAGAACACCCGUGGCGAAGGCGGCUCUCUGGGACGGUACUGACGCUGAGACGCGAAAGCGUGGGGAGCGAACAGG